This 263-nucleotide long non-coding RNA is filed under the name Lathyrus oleraceus (garden pea). RNAcentral describes it as "Pisum sativum (pea) long non-coding RNA (PSAT_LNC032813)". The record is from RNAcentral. Lineage: Eukaryota; Viridiplantae; Streptophyta; Magnoliopsida; Fabales; Fabaceae.
AUCAUUCUUCCUCAAAUCAAACACCUCCAUAUCCAUCACCUUCACUCAACCCUUUUCACUCAAAACACUAACAUCAAACCAUAAAAUCAACACUAACAACCAUCAAUCCUCCGACAAAAGCUACACGAAAAAACACACUUUCAUCACCAUUUACUCCAUUAAACUCCAAAUUAUUCACCAAACCAUCUUCAACUUUAAACCAUCAUAAGACCUUCAUCCUCCAUAAAUAACCAUUACAAUACCAUCUCUUCCAUACUAGCAAC